This is a non-coding RNA of Trametes maxima, 103 nucleotides long. Lineage: Eukaryota; Fungi; Basidiomycota; Agaricomycetes; Polyporales; Polyporaceae. The record is from the annotation of a GenBank genome assembly.
GCCCGCCUAGCUCAAUCGGAUAGAGCGUCAGACUCUUAGGGCGGAGGUUUCGGCCACCCGAAGUGUCAUCUGAAGGCUGCGAGUUCGACCCUCGCGGUGGGCU